GUCAAUGGCCAUGCCACCCUGAACAAGCCCGAUCCCGUCUGAUCUUGGAAGCUGAGCAGGGUCGGGCCUUGUUAGUACUUGGAUGGGAGACCACCUAGGAAGACUGGGUGCUGUAGGCA
Molecule: ribosomal RNA, 119 nt
Filed under: Pteropus alecto (black flying fox)
Lineage: Eukaryota; Metazoa; Chordata; Mammalia; Chiroptera; Pteropodidae
Also listed under: 1 other name
Source: RNAcentral